RNAcentral lists this unclassified non-coding RNA (263 nucleotides) under uncultured Glomerellales. RNAcentral's name for it is "sequence contains 5.8S rRNA gene, ITS2, 28S rRNA gene". Lineage: Eukaryota; Fungi; Ascomycota; Sordariomycetes; Glomerellales. The record is from RNAcentral.
AACGCACAUGGCGCCUUCCAGUAUCCUGGGAGGCAUGCCUGUCCGAGCGUCGUUUCAACCCUCGAGCCCCUGUGGCCCGGCGUUGGGGAUCUGCCACGGCAGGCCCCUAAAACCAGUGGCGGACCCGAAGGGCCCUCUCCUUUGCGCAGUAGCAUUCGCCUCGCAUCGGGAGUCCUCGGCGUCCUGCCUCUAAACCCCCACAAGCCCGCUCCGGCGGCACCAAGGUUGACCUCGGAUCAGGUAGGAAUACCCGCUGAACUUAA